This 468-nucleotide ribosomal RNA is filed under the name uncultured bacterium. RNAcentral's name for it is "partial 16S ribosomal RNA". It matches the Rfam family "Bacterial small subunit ribosomal RNA", at positions 28 to 507 of the family's 1533-position model. The record is from RNAcentral.
GACGAACGCUGGCGGCGUGCUUAACACAUGCAAGUCGAACGGACAGGCCCUGCUUUUGUGGGGUGCUCGAGUGGCGAACGGGUGAGUAACACGUGUGUAACCUGCCCUUGACUUUGGGAUAACUUCACGAAACUGGGGCUCAUACCGGAUAGGAUCUCCUGCUGCGUGGUGGGGGAUGGAAAGUUUCGGCGGUUGUGGAUAGACUCGCUGGUUAUCCGCUUGCUGGUCGGGUAGUGGCUUUCCACGGUUUUGACGGGUAGCCGGCCUGAGAGCGUGACCGGCCACCUUAGGCCUGAGAUAGGGACCAGAAGCCUACGGGAGGCAGCAGUGGAGAAUCUUGCGCAAUAGGCGGAAGCCUGAGGCAGCAGUCCCGCGUGCGUGAUGACCGCCUUCGGGUUGUAAACCGCUUUCUACUGUGACGAAGCGUGAUUGACGGUAAUUGGUAAAGAAGCACCGGCUAACUACGUG